Long non-coding RNA from Equus caballus (horse), 3028 nucleotides. The record is from Ensembl. NCBI's taxonomy places the organism in Eukaryota, Metazoa, Chordata, Mammalia, Perissodactyla, Equidae.
UGGAGCAUGAGAUCACUCAGCCACGGAGCUGACCCCUGUGUAAAGAAUUUUGUGUGGACAUAAGUUUUCAACUCCUUUGGUAUGGUGGAGUGUAGAUAGGCCUGGUCCCUGCCUAGCCUUGAAGAAGACUGGAAGCUCCCUUGGUCUUUUGGAGUCCUGAGCUACCAGGAAAUCAUGACCAGGCAGACUAAGACUUUUGGCUAUGAGGUAUGCUGGCCGGGGGAUGGAAGUAUGCUCCAGCAAGAGCAAGGAGACCUGAUGCUGUGGUAGUGCCAAGCAGAGUGGGCCGCCUGGGCAGCAACAUGCCUUCACACAAACUGUGCUCUGCGUACAGCUGAAGGAAUUGAAGGAAUCUGACUGAGGACUAGAGAAGUUAAGUCACUGCAGACAGAUACAGAGAAGUGGCAAAGGAAGCUGAUUCGUAUGCACCAUCUCAAAGAACCUCCUCACCCUCCCACAUCUGGUUGGGUUCUGCCGUCAGGGAGAACUGCCAGAUCACAGAACUAGAGAAGAGAGAAGUCAGAAUAUUCCUCCUUCUGGGUCUUACCCUACAGGUCACCAAUGUGCAGCUGAGUCCUGCUCCCCUCCAGAGGCCCAGUUUCCUUAGUUCUUUCAAUCUCUUCAUUCUGAAAAAGUGCUUUCUUCUCUCUUCAUUUCAGGCCUUAGGCUGGGAGAGGCCCACUGUUUCUAUUCCUGAUAUGUUGAACUCUAGAGUUUUACCUCCUCCCUGGCCAUACUUUGAUAAGUGGCAGGUGGUUUCAAUUAAAUUCUUCUCCAUUACCAAAUUUGAGUAUGUCAUUUCUUUCCUGAAGGAUACCCCAGAUUGACAAAGCAACCAAUGAAUAUUUCUUUCUUUCCUUAAUUGCAUUACCAUCUUACCAGUCUUGAAAAAAAUAACCAUGUCGAACAUUUUCCUUUCCCUAUUUACUUUGGAUUAUUUACCGAUCAAUAGCUGAAUCACACUUAUUCUGAAAUAAACUAACUCCCUUAUCUUGUCCCUCAUCCCACUGCUUUAUAAUAUUUGAAUUAACAGGGUAAGUUCUAUGCUGUGUCUGCAAAUUUUAGUUUCUAACCCGAAUGUCGGGAAUCUCUAGAAAUCUCAGUUACCUAAUCAGUGAAAAUAAUGAUGAGAUAUUAGGAUAGUGUCUAAAGUCCCUUUCAUUGGUUUAAGUUUAAAAUGUAGACAUGUAAAUAUAAAGUGAAGAGGUGUCAUUUAAUUGGACACUCCCAAAUAUUGUUUGCAAAUUUAACAUUAUGCCAGUUCAAGGGUUGAGUGUGUUGUUGUUGUUGAUUUUGGAGUGCCAAUUGUAGUAAGCAAUAAAGGAUAACAAAUGUACUGAAUGGCAAUGUCGAGUUCUUACUAGAUUGCUGGAAUCAACAGGCCAGAGCUCAUUUCCUGGCGUGACACUUCCCAUGAAGUUUUAAAAACUCCCCUUUUGUAAAAACAGAAAUAGUGCCACCAAUUUGCAGGAUUUGGGGAAAAAUGUAUGUAAAUCUCUGGCUCAGAGUAGACAAUAACAAAUGCCAUUUCUCCCACAGAAAUAUAUAAUCUAGUAGGGUGCUGAAGCUUAGAAAUAGAAAAUAAUUAUAAUGCAGUGUGGUCAGCUGUCAGUGAAGGACUUCUCAGUGUGGGUUCAAACAGCUUCUCCCUCCUACUCCUCAGGUUUUCUUAUCUACCUAGGCGAGAUAAUCAAAAGAUGUGGACUUCAACAAUAGGUUUUCCUGCUGUUUCUAUGGCAACCAGAUGACAAUAAUCACAACACUUCACUUUAGUCUUUAACGCAAUUUAGUCGGCAACAUUGGUUAAUCACCCACUGUGUGCAGAGAAAUGUACUGGAAGGUUAUGGCAACAAGAAAUUUUAUUGUCAUAAGUGGAAACUGCUAGGAGAAAAUAACUUUCUCCACAAAAAUGUCCUCUGAAAAAAAUUUUUAAAAAUCUACCUCAUUAUUUGCACAUUAGGGUUUCUAGAUUUACCUUGAGCCGUAAGUGCUUCUUUGCAAUCUUCUGCACAAAUAAAAUUAUCAAGGAAAGACUGGAAUUUGUCCUCGAUGCUGAAAAUGACCUGAGUUAGUGGAGACAAUAGUUGAACACUAUUCUACUAAUGCUAGCAAAUUUCUCUCUAGAACUUUCUCCUGGGAAUAUAGACACACUUAUUUUUCCCCUGAUACAAAUAUAGGAAAAGGACGUUUAUCCAAAAUUCUCCUUCUUUUGGAAGGUCCUAGGAUGGUGAGGUUAAACAGGAAGCAUGUCAUUAAAUAAUGGCAAGCAGUAAAUCCGUUAUGGGGACCUUUCUCAUAAAGCAAGCCAUGUAAUGGCCAGAUGCAGAAGGUCAAAUAAAGAACUCAAAACGUCUUUCUUCCAAUUUCUCACAGCUGUGUGUGGACCGGGCUAGAGCAAAUAACAGGUGUCUCCCAUUGACCUUCAGAGCUAUUCAAAAUUCUUAAUAAAUAAUGUUUUGGCCUCGAUACCCAUCUCUUUUCCAGAGCAAUUUUCCACUGAGAUUUAUUUCACUCAGAUUCAUUUUAUAUAUGUAAUACUAUACUCUGUUUUUUUUAAAGAUUGGCACCUGAGCUAACAUCUGUUGCCAAUCUUCUUUUUUUCUUCUUCUUCCCAAAGCCCCCCAGUACAUGGUUGUAUAUCCUAGUUGUGAGUGCCUCUGGUUGUGCUAUGUGGGAUACCACCUCAGCAUGGCCUGAUGAGCGGUGCCAUGUCCAUGCCCAGGAUCUGAAGCCACAAAACCCCAGGCCACCAAAGCAGAGCCUGAGAACUUAACCACUGGGCCACAGGUCGUCCCCUAUAAUACUAUACUCUCACACCCAUCUGCAUAUUGCUCAACUAACUUUAAAAAGGAGAAGAAUUAGUAGAAUUCAGUGAUAUGGCAUACUGAUAAGUGCUUAUUUAAAGCUGUGUGUAUGUUUGCAUUAUUCAAUUUUAAAUACUAUUUUUUUCUUACUGAACAAUAAGCAGAAGUUCCUUAUAUUAAAAAAUAGAAGUUAUUAUGAACAAAAUAAGAAUAUUAAAGUAAUC